Molecule: transfer RNA, 67 nt
Filed under: Marmota monax (woodchuck)
Lineage: Eukaryota; Metazoa; Chordata; Mammalia; Rodentia; Sciuridae
Description: tRNA.Ala
Rfam family: tRNA
About the family: Transfer RNA (tRNA) molecules are approximately 80 nucleotides in length. Their secondary structure includes four short double-helical elements and three loops (D, anti-codon, and T loops).
Source: RNAcentral
GGUUAUAGCUCAAUGGUAGAGCACCUGUCUUGCAUGCAUGAGGCCCUGAGUUCAGUCCCCAGCACCA